RNAcentral lists this ribosomal RNA (435 nucleotides) under uncultured bacterium. RNAcentral describes it as "partial 16S ribosomal RNA". It matches the Rfam family "Bacterial small subunit ribosomal RNA", at positions 29 to 507 of the family's 1533-position model. The record is from RNAcentral.
AACGAACGCUGGCGGCAGGCUUAACACAUGCAAGUCGAACGCAUGCCUUCGGGCAUGAGUGGCAGACGGGUGAGUAACGCGUGGGAACCUACCCCUUGGUACGGGAUAGCUCCGGGAAACUGGAGAUAAUACCGUAUGUGUCCUGAGGGACAAAGAUUCAUCGCCAAGGGAUGGGCCCGCGUCGGAUUAGCUAGUUGGUGGGGUAACGGCCUACCAAGGCGACGAUCCGUAGCUGGUCUAAGAGGAUGAUCAGCCACAUUGGGACUGAGACACGGCCCAAACUCCUACGGGAGGCAGCAGUGGGGAAUAUUGGACAAUGGGCGCAAGCCUGAUCCAGCCAUGCCGCGUGAGUGAUGAAGGCCCUAGGGUUGUAAAGCUCUUUCACCGGUGACGAUAAUGACGGUAACCGGAGAAGAAGCCUCGGCUAACUUCGUG